This is a long non-coding RNA of Humulus lupulus (European hop), 283 nucleotides long. RefSeq lists it as uncharacterized. Lineage: Eukaryota; Viridiplantae; Streptophyta; Magnoliopsida; Rosales; Cannabaceae. The record is from RefSeq and is a predicted model, not a curated record. The transcript is spliced from 3 exons.
GGAAAUCUACCACUGUUUUGUAAUGUUAACUUUUGAUAUAGAUUGAACAUGUCUAUACUCGUCACAUGCUCAGAGACAUAUCUUGCCAUGAAAAGAAUCUGGACUUGAGGCUGGAUCUGUGCACCAAAAGAACUGUAACUACUUUUACUGAUGAUGACUUGGAAAGCCUCAAAUUUUUGAUAAAUUCUGCUAGAUGUCAGGCACCCAAUAAAAGGUAAAAAAAAUGAAUAAAUGAAGUUGUGGGUAGUGUAAAAGAUUUUCUUGAAGGUGAGUUAUAUUUUGU